UGGCACAGGGGGUCUUCUCUCUUGGCUUUGGAGCUCCCCAUUCCUCUGUGUCUGUAACAGGGGAGCUUCUUCCUUCUUUCUUCUCCCUUCUUUCUUGCCUGUUAAACUCUCUGCUUCUUAAAACCACUCCAUGUAUGUCCAGGUCAUUUUAUCUAAUUUGGAGACGGAGAACCCUGGUGUUCCUCUGCUCAUCAGAGCCGUCUCACCUGCAAGGGCCAGGAUCCAGCACUAGGGCUGCCCUUUAUGUUCAUGCAGCCUCCACUAGGAAGAUCCUCCUUAGCUGCCACCUGCUGUAAAGGGAUCUAUCUAUCUAUCUGUCUAUCUAUCUAUCUAUCUAUCUUUCUAUCUACCUGUCGAGAGAGAGAGAGGUUUAUUAUAAGGAAUUGACUCAUGUGAUUAUGGAGGCUGAGAAGUUCCACAGUCUGCUGUCUGCAAGCUGGAGACCCAGGAAGGCUGCUGGUGCCGUUCCAGUUUGAUUCUGAAGGCCUGAGAACCAGAACUGAUGCCCACUCAACAUGAAGAUGACAAGGAUGAAGACCUUUAUGAUGAUCCAUUCCCACUUACUGAAUAGAUGAAGCUUCUUGGUGAUGUAACAGUCUGUGGAAACUCCCACAGGACAAAUGCAGAAAGGAAGGACCUAGAUCACUGGAUGGUCAACGUUGCCCCUUGCACAGCAGCAAAGGCCUAUACAAAUUUUUUGAGUAGCUUUAUCUAGUGGUUCAGCUACUGGGAAUAACUUGUAAAAUCCCCUGGAUAGUCAACAGCAUUGGGGCUUGCUUUGUAAACAGAGACCUGACCUACUUAAUUCUUCCCAGAGGUUGGAAAAAGAGGCUGGACUCACACAGACAUGAAACCUUGGCUUAAUUGGACACUAAUUACUCAUAAGAGAUCUGUUUACCCGAACUUCCCCUAGACCAAGCUCAGUAUAAAAUGAGAGGAUGCAUAAAGAAGCAAGAUAUUUAGAGGAAAAUGUCACAAAUACAUUUAUCAGUCCCAAAAGUCCUUUUUUUUCCCCAGAAGUGAUGUUGCUAAUUGCACAAAAAUAAACAAUACAGGGGUUGAUAAAUUCCACAUUUAAGGGCUGAGGAUAGUGUCCCUACAUUUCUAAGAAGCUGUAUAUUUGGAAAUGAAUACAAUUGAAAGUAAGGAUAAGUGGCAUUCUAAAGCCAAUUGGAUAACUUGAAUGAACAAGCAGAAUUUACCAUAUUUUGAUAUGUUUCUUUUUGAUUAAAGUAUCUGUAAAGGAAACAAAUUAUAGUAUUGCUAUAGAUUUUAUUACUGAACAAGAAAAAAAGGCUUGAUGUUGUGCAUUUCCUUUUGGCCUUUGGUCUUGGCUGAUAUUGGGCAUCCAAUGAGCUUCUUUGUCUUGAAUGAAGACUUAAGAGGGAGUGAAAAGUAGGAAGAGCAUCAAAACUUCUUUGCAGGAUGUAAUCAAACCACCUACUACUUAUUGUCUUACGAUCCAUUUAUUCAACAAAUGGAACAUCUCAAUUGCUUGAUGCUAUUACAGACACUAGGUAUAGUCUUAGAAAAACAAAUUGCUGUUUUUAUAUAGCUUGUGUUAUGGGUUGAUGUAGUACAGUCAAAAUUAUUUAAAUAAAGGAAGAUGUGAGGAAGACUUUGAACUUAGAAAUCUGGGUUCUCAUCCAAGCUUUGCUGCUAGCUUGUUGGGGGAACCUUGGGUGAUGAGUUGGUUGACUCCUUCCAGAUCUCAGCGUUCAUCCAUCAAGUGAGGGAACUUGACCAGAUAUUCAAUAAUGGCCCUUCCAGCCCCAUCUCUAUAUGAAAGGGAAACCACAGUAUGGGCCCAUGGGGAAGAUCAUGGACUUUGGAGUAAAACAUUUCUGGCUUGGUCAAUUAUUUAAUCUCUUGAUCCCGAUCAAUUCAUGUAACUACUCUGACCCUCAGUUUCCUUGCUGCAAAAUGAGAUACUAAUAUUUGCUCAAAUAAGAUAACAGGCAAAACAAUCAUGAGGGCUCCUGGCACACCACUGUGCAUGGCUUUUGCUCCCUUGGGGAGCUUAUAAAUGAAAAAAAGAUUUUACAAUGCAAAGACAGUAAGCAUUUUGUUAGUGAAGCAACAAAAUAAUUGGGCAAUUUCCUCUCAAUUGCACCAUCAACUGAUGCCCAACCUAGAAAGCAUUUGGCUAAGAAUGGAAAAGGAAUCUUUGCCCAGAUCCCUCAAUUUUGACCAUCAUGGCAUAUACAUGAAUUGGCAGACUAAAUUUAUGCUCCUUUUGAAAACUGUGUCCAUUCCAAGAAGUCAGGCUAUUUUCACCCAGCCUGGUCUAGGCAGUGGGACUCCCCAAGGCUACAAGCAGAGCCACAGUGCUCUGGGCUGGGCUGCCACACUGUCAUGCUGGGGCAAAGAUGGCAGCAGACAGCUCUCUUGGGUAACAGCAGGAAGCUCUUUUCACAAGAGUGAUCUCAUCUCUUAGGGGACUAUGGUAGAAACACAGGGCAAAAGCUAUAGGAAUGGUCCAACAUAAUAACUGUUUUUUUUUUUAAUUUUCAAAACAUGAUAAAUGAUUAAGAAUAUAAAACUGGAAUUUAGAACUUACAGAGAACUUGUAUGAAUAAAUUAAAAAGACAACCUAAUUUUAAAAUGGGCAGAAGUCUUGGGCAGGCACAUUACAAUAUAGCAGGGGUCACCAAAUUAAAGCCUCACCAGCAAAAUCCACCUCCCAUCCCAGCCUGUUUUUAUAAAUAAGCUGUGUUGGAACACAGCCAAUCCCAUUCAUUCACACAUUGCCCAUGGCUGCUUUUGCUUGACAACAGCAUAGUUGAGUAGUAGGGACAAGACCAUAUGACCUCCAAAGCCAGAGAUAUUAACUGUCAGGCCCUUUAUAGAGUGAUUCACGGAGACCCCCAUAAUAGAGGAAAAUACAAGUGGCCAAUAGCACAUAAGAAGAUGCCCAGUAUUACAGCCAAGAGGAAAAUGCAAAUUACACCCACAGUAAGAUACCAUUAUGCAUCCAUUAGAAAGGCUAAAAUUAAAAGGACUGACAACAACAAGUGUUGACAAUGGUGGGUAACAGCAAGAGCUCUCAUACACUGAUGGUUGAAGUGUAAAUUGGUUCAGUUUUGGAAAAGAGUUUGGAGGUGUCUACUACAGUUAAACAUACAUAUUUCCAUGCCCCAGAAACUCCUGGGCAUAUUCUCAAAAGAAA
This 3169-nucleotide long non-coding RNA is filed under the name Homo sapiens (human). RNAcentral's name for it is "ETS2 antisense RNA 1". Lineage: Eukaryota; Metazoa; Chordata; Mammalia; Primates; Hominidae. The record is from RNAcentral.